UGCUGACUUUACACAAAACAAUCAUGAUCUAUCUAUAUAGAACGUUGUCUAGUUGAGUUCUUAUCUAUUAAACCAGAACACAUGAAGCAUCCAUUCUCUCUAUAUGAUUGCAUGUAUCCUACAGGCAGUAUGCCUGAAAUUUAAGUAGGGUCCGCCACUGAUUCUUACCAAGUAACUAAUCCUCUGCCUGAAAUUUAAGUAGGGUCCGCCACUGAUUCUUACCAAGUAACUAAUCCUCAGCUUGUAUGUUUUUUUUCUAACUUGGUCUAUAUUUAAUUAUCACUUCAUAGGGAAAAUGAGAAAAAGCUGAAGUUUCACCUAUCCUUUAAUGAGUCUUCUCCAGAAGUCUGAU
RNAcentral lists this long non-coding RNA (352 nucleotides) under Theobroma cacao (cacao). RNAcentral describes it as "long non-coding RNA (TCAC_LNC004699)". Lineage: Eukaryota; Viridiplantae; Streptophyta; Magnoliopsida; Malvales; Malvaceae. The record is from RNAcentral.